GAUGAACGCUGGCGGCGUGCCUAAUACAUGCAAGUCGAGCGAACUGAUUAGAAGCUUGCUUCUAUGACGUUAGCGGCGGACGGGUGAGUAACACGUGGGCAACCUGCCUGUAAGACUGGGAUAACUUCGGGAAACCGAAGCUAAUACCGGAUAGGAUCUUCUCCUUCAUGGGAGAUGAUUGAAAGAUGGUUUCGGCUAUCACUUACAGAUGGGCCCGCGGUGCAUUAGCUAGUUGGUGAGGUAACGGCUCACCAAGGCAACGAUGCAUAGCCGACCUGAGAGGGUGAUCGGCCACACGAGGACUGAGACACGGACCAGACUCCUACGGGAGGCAGCAGUAGGGAAUCUUCCGCAAUGGACGAAAGUCUGACGGAGCAACGCCGCGUGAGUGAUGAAGGCUUUCGGGUCGUAAAACUCUGUUGUUAGGGAAGAACAAGUACAAGAGUAACUGCUUGUACCUUGACGGUACCUAACCAGAAAGCCACGGCUAACUACGUGCCAGCAGCCGCGGUAA
RNAcentral lists this ribosomal RNA (514 nucleotides) under uncultured bacterium. Its description in RNAcentral is "partial 16S ribosomal RNA". It matches the Rfam family "Bacterial small subunit ribosomal RNA", at positions 28 to 523 of the family's 1533-position model. The record is from RNAcentral.